AGCGAACGCUGGCGCCAGGCCUAACACAUGCAAGUCGAACGAACUCUUCGGAGUUAGUGGCGGACGGGUGAGGAACACGUGGGAACGUGCCUUUAGGUUCGGCAUAACUCAGGGAAACUUGUGCUAAUACCCAAUGUGCCCUUCGGGGGAAAGAUUUAUCGCCUUUAGAGCGGCCGGCGUCUGAUUAGCUAGUUGGUGAGGUAACGGCUCACCAAGGCGACGAUCAGUAGCUGGUCUGAGAGGAUGGCCAGCCACACUGGGACUGAGACACGGCCCAGACUCCUACGGGAGGCAGCAGUGGGGAAUCUUGCGCAAUGGGCGAAAGCCUGACGCAGCCAUGCCGCGUGAAUGAUGAAGGUCUUAGGAUUGUAAAAUUCUUUCACCGGGGACGAUAAUGACGGUACCCGGAGAAGAAGCCCCGGCUAACUGCGUGCCAGCAGCCGCAGUAA
Molecule: ribosomal RNA, 449 nt
Filed under: uncultured bacterium
Lineage: Bacteria
Description: partial 16S ribosomal RNA
Rfam family: Bacterial small subunit ribosomal RNA
Source: RNAcentral